This 253-nucleotide ribosomal RNA is filed under the name uncultured bacterium. RNAcentral describes it as "partial 16S ribosomal RNA". It matches the Rfam family "Bacterial small subunit ribosomal RNA", at positions 524 to 776 of the family's 1533-position model. The record is from RNAcentral.
UACGAAGGCUCCAAGCGUUAUCCGGAUUUAUUGGGCGUAAAGGGUCUCUAGACGGUCGUGUUAGUCGGAUGUUAAAUCUCACCGCUCAACGGUGAGGCCGCAUUCGAAACGGCAUGACUCGAGGCAAGGAGAGGUGACUAGAAUUCUUGGUGUAGGGGUGAAAUCCGUUGAUAUCAAGGAGAAUACCAAAGGCGAAGGCAUGUCACUGGCCUUGUCCUGACGUUCAAGGACGAAAGCGUGGGGAGCAAAUGGG